AGUGAACGCUGGCGGCGUGCUUAACACAUGCAAGUCGAACGAGAACGGAUUAUAGCUUGCUAUAAUUGUCAGCUAAGUGGCGCACGGGUGAGUAAUGUAUAGGUAAUAUGCCUCUUACUAAGGGAUAACAAAUGGAAACGUUUGCUAAUACCUUAUACUCCUUAUUAACAGAAGUUAAUAAGGUAAAGAUUUAUUGGUAAGAGAUUAGCCCGUAUUGUAUCAGUUAGUUGGUGGGGUAAUGGCUUACCAAGACUAUGACACAUAACUGGUUUGAGAGGAUGAUCAGUCACACUGGAACUGAGACACGGCCCAGACUCCUACGGGAGGCAGCAGUGGGGAAUAUUGCACAAUGGACGAAAGUCUGAUGCAGCAACGCCGCGUGGAGGAUGACACAUUUCGGUGCGUAAACUCCUUUUAUAUGAGAAGAUAAUGACGGUAUUAUAUGAAUAAGCACCGGCUAACUCCGUGCCAGCAGCCGCAGUAA
RNAcentral lists this ribosomal RNA (484 nucleotides) under uncultured bacterium. Its description in RNAcentral is "partial 16S ribosomal RNA". It matches the Rfam family "Bacterial small subunit ribosomal RNA", at positions 29 to 523 of the family's 1533-position model. The record is from RNAcentral.